CCCAAGAGCGUCGUCGCGCGCCUUGGCCGCACGGUUAAGUUUCCUGUGUUGCGUACCUACCGGAAGGAAUUCGCACGACCCAACGACGGACGUCCUUCCAGCGACGUGCCCGCCCCUCGUGCGGGCGCGGCGCGGGACGGACCGCGAGGGCGCGCCCGUGCUCCGAGCCGCACGCCAUGCGAUGCGUCUCGGCCCACGGCCUGCCGCCCGAGCUCUCGGACGCGGUGCACCAGGAGGGCAGGGGGUCGCACGACGGCCUCCGUUUGCCCGAGCUCGGCGUCAAUCGCCCGCACCGAACGACUGCCGUCGUCGCCUCGAGGCGCCGCACCCCCCCGGGCGUGUCGGCCGGCC
RNAcentral lists this unclassified non-coding RNA (351 nucleotides) under Randia sp. Lemos 202. Its description in RNAcentral is "partial external transcribed spacer". Lineage: Eukaryota; Viridiplantae; Streptophyta; Magnoliopsida; Gentianales; Rubiaceae. The record is from RNAcentral.